CCUCAUCUCUCUAUUCUCGCUCUCUCUCUCUCCAACUGCAAUCUACAAAAAUCAUAAUAUCAAAACCCAUGUCGGCAAAAUCAUUUCAGCCUCCCUAAUCGCCACAUCUCUCUCUCUCCAAAUCCAACUGAAAUCUACAAAUUCUACAAAAAUCAGAAUAUCAAAACACAUAUCGGCAAAAUCAUUUCAGCCUCUCUAAUCGCCUCAUCUCUCUAUUCUCGUUCUCUCAUUCUCUCGUUCCUUCUUCGAGCAAUCAGCUUUUCAGUGCAGUGCUGGGAUUCGAAUUGGGUUUAAGAAAAUCAGUUCAAUUCUAACCUUUGUUUCUGAAUUCCAUUAGUUAAUGAAUCAUGCUUGAUCUAUGUUGAUGCAUGCAUGAAGGUAUUUUUUUUUUGUGGAUGAUGAUGAUGUUGCCGAGAGUUUUUUUGUUUCUAAAACUGUUUUCAAGUGUCAAUUUGAUGUGAAUUUGAUUAUUUGGGCAUUAAAUUGUUAUUGUUCUUGGGUUUUGAAUUCCUCUAUAUUGAUAGGGGUAUGGAGUUCUCUUGAUUGUGACUCUUUAUUUUCAUCUGCUAUUGAUUUAAUUGUUCAUAAAUUUGUGGUUUUUAUUUACGUUCUCAGGGUUGUGAUGCUUCAGUUCUAGAUGACAGCAAUGAUAAUAAGAGGUACUCCAUCGAAAAGAAUGCAAUUCCGAACCUAAAACUCAAGGGGUUUAAUUAUGUCAACAUGAUAAAGCAGGAGUUGGAAAAUGUUUGCCCAGGAGUGGUUUCUUGUUCUGAUACACUAAUUCUGGCCACCAGAGAUGGUCUUGUUAUGGUUUUAUUUAUUUAUUUUUUUCAUAAAGUUUUUCUGCAACUUCCGGCGACUUCAACCUCCCCCCCCCCCUCUCUCUCUCUCUCUGCAACUGUAAUCAAAACCCAUAUCCGGCUGUCUCUCAACUUUCUUGCCCCUUGGUGUAAUUUGCUCCCUUUCUCUCAAACGAGCCCUUAGAGAAUUCCCAUGCUGGGAUUCAAAUCCAACUACCUCCAUAAACGUUUAUAUUCAUCUUCAGCGUCUUAUGUAGUCAAGUACCUUAACUGUCGGAUCAACUUCUUCCUCUCCAACCAAUUCACUGACCUGCAAUCUCUCCUCCGAUCACACGCUUACAUUAUCACAACUGGUCACACAAAUAACAUUUUCAUAGCAUCAAAGCUCAUCUCUCUCUAUGCUUCUUUCAGUAAACCCAACUUGUCAACUCAAGUAUUUGAUUCAGUUUAUUUCAGAGAUACUUUCCUUUGGAACUCUGUAAUCAAAGCUUAUUUCUCCAAUGGAGAGUACCCACAAGCUCUUCAACUAUAUCUCCGAAUGCGGUUAUCUGAUACCCAACCUAACCAUUUCACCAUUCCAAUGGUUGCUGCAGCCUGUGCGGAGCUUUCAUCGUUAAAUUAUGGCAUGACCAUACAUGGGUUGGUUUCAAAACUUGGACUUGUUGCAGGAAAUUCAGCAAUUGGGUCUUCGUUUGUGUAUAUGUAUUCGAAGUGUGGUUGUAUGGAGGAUGCAUCUCUUGUGUUCGAUGAAAUUUUUGUAAGGGAUGUGGUUGCUUGGACAGCACUUGUAAUUGGGUAUGUGCAGAAUGACGAGAGUGAGAAGGGGUUAGAGUGUCUUUGUGAGAUGCACAAGGUUGGUGGGGAUAGUGAGAGGCCGAAUUUUAGAACAUUGGAAGGUGGGUUUCAAGCUUGUGGGAAUUUGGGGGCUUCGCUGGAAGGUAGGUGCUUACAUGGUUUAGCAGUAAAAAUUGGAAUUGGGUGUUCUCAUGCCAUUCAGUCUUCGCUAUUGUCAAUGUAUUCCAAGUGUGGUAACCAUGAGGAAGCUUAUCUUUCGUUUUGUGAUGUUUUCAACAAGGAUCUUAUCUCAUGGACAUCAAUCAUUGGUGUUUUUGCAAAAUUUGGGUUUCUCACCAAAUGUUUAGGCAUGUUUAUGGAAAUGCAGGCUGCUGGCAUAUAUCCGGAUGGAAUUGUUAUCAGUUGUGUAAUUUCGGGUUUUUGUAAUUCUAUGAGGAUCUCUGAAGGAAAAGCCUUCUAUGGUUUAAUCAUAAAGAAAAAUUAUGUAGUAGAUCAGAUGGUCCGUAAUGCAUUGUUGUCAAUGUACUGUAAGUUUGGACUUCUAGCUUUUGCCAAGAAGCUCUUUGAUAGAGUACACGAUCGGGACACAGAGUCUUGGAACAUAAUGGUGUCUGGUUAUGGUAAGAUCGGGCCAAGAGCCAAAUGUGUAGAAUUGUUUAGUGAAAUGCAACAUCUAGGCAUUGAAUCCGAUUCAAACAGUUUGGUAUCUGUGAUUUCUUCAUGUUCCCAAUUAGAAGCAUUCCAUCUAGGUCGAUGUCUUCAUUGCUAUGCGAUUAAAAGUCUUAUGUAUGAGAAUGUUUCAGUUGCCAAUUCACUCAUAGACAUGUAUGGUAAGAGUGGGAAAUUAACCAUUGCAUGGAAAAUAUUUUGUGGGACACAAAAGGAUACUGUCACGUGGAACACUUUGAUCUCUUCUUAUACUCAUAGUGGGCAUUCUGCCGAGGCUUUAGCCUUAUUUGAUGAAAUGGUUUUGAAAGGCUUCAAGCCUAAUUCAGCAACAUUGGUGACAGUGCUCUCUGGUUGUUCUCAUAUUGCAUCUCUGGAGAAAGGAGAACAGGUUCACAAUUACAUCAAGGAAGGGGGAUUUCAGUUUAAUUUAUCUCUUGAAACUGCAUUAGUUGAUAUGUAUGCAAAAUGCGGGCAGCUCAAAAAAGCAAGAGAAAUAUUUUACUCAAUGAUAGAAAAAGAUGUUAUUUCUUGGAAUGUGAUGAUCUCUGGUUAUGGAUUGCAUGGAGAUGCAGAAUCUGCGAUAGAGAUUUUCCAGCAGAUGUUGCAAUCAAAUGUUAGACCAAAUGAGCUCACCUUUCUUGCUGUUCUCUCAGCUUGUAUGCAUGUGGGGCUUGUUGAAGAAGGAAAGUGGCUGUUUGAUAGAAUGGGUGAUUUUUCUGUGAGACCCACAUUGAAGCACUACACUUGUAUGGUUGAUCUUCUUAGUCGGUCAGGUAAUCUGCAUGAGGCUGAAGCUUUGGUUCUCUCGAUGCCCAUGGACCCUGAUGGGGGUUUGUGGGGUGCUUUGUUAAGUGCUUGCAAAAUUCACCACAAUAGUGAGAUGGGAAUAAGGAUUGCGAAGCAUGCUAUUGCCUCCAACCCAGGAAAUGAUGGCUAUUAUAUAACGCUUUCCAACUUAUACACCUCUACAGGGAGGUGGGAGGAGGCAGAGCAUGUGAAAAUAAUCAUGAAGGAAAAAGGAGUGAGAAAGAGAGCUGGUUGGAGUGCAGUAUAAUUCAUAGGGAAUAGCCAUAUGCUCUUUGGUGUACGAAAGGUACCAACCUUGAUAUCAUAAAAUAUGCAAAAAAGUGCUAAACUCCAUGCUAUAGCCAAUGUGCAUAUCUGCAGAUGGUUUUGAUGCCUUCGGUGCCAUUAUCUCUGGGUCCUGAAAUUCACUACAAGUCUCCACUGGUAAAGAAAAUGCCAAACCAGCAGUUUCACUACCUUGGUUGCAGGAAAUCUUAUUCAUCAUGGAAUUCUGACCCUUAUUUUUUUUGCAUUAGCUCAGCAUUGAUAACAUUCUUGCUGAUGUAUGAUGUGGAGAAAGUUGUCCCCCUUGUUUUAGGUCAGAUUCCUACUGCAGUUCAAGCAGAUGUUUACUUUAAAUCCUGAUUGUUGAUUACACAUUAAUAAAAUGAUAAGAGUAACUGACCUUUUGCUGUCUGAACUCGAUUAGCGAGCACGGAAUGGAGGUUUGACAUUGUUGCAUGCUGUCUGAACAGGUGUAUGGUUCAAGCACUGUCACAUGGAAAGACAUACUACCUGGGGUAUGGGCACUGCUCUCAUUGUGAAGAAUGGCGACACUGCAGAGACAAGUAUGCGUGAGCCCUAUCCUUACAUGCCAUUGUGUACAGUGCCCCUAGCCUCCAAACUCCAGGCAUCAAAAUUUUCAGGAGAAAUAUGAGAAUAGAAGAGAGGUUUUGAAAAAUAUGAGCCUGAUUUAGCCUUUCUAAUUACAGCUUACAAGAGGGGGUUGCAUGUAUUCCUACCAUCACUUUGUAAUAAAAUGGGUAGGUUGUAA
Molecule: RNA transcript, 4104 nt
Organism: Cornus florida
Lineage: Eukaryota; Viridiplantae; Streptophyta; Magnoliopsida; Cornales; Cornaceae
Gene name: pentatricopeptide repeat-containing protein At4g39952, mitochondrial-like
Exons: 2
Source: RefSeq, a predicted model, not a curated record